RNAcentral lists this ribosomal RNA (497 nucleotides) under uncultured bacterium. RNAcentral's name for it is "partial 16S ribosomal RNA". It matches the Rfam family "Bacterial small subunit ribosomal RNA", at positions 28 to 507 of the family's 1533-position model. The record is from RNAcentral.
GAUGAACGCUGGCGGCGUGCCUAAUACAUGCAAGUCGAGCGAACAGACGAGGAGCUUGCUCCUCUGACGUUAGCGGCGGACGGGUGAGUAACACGUGGAUAACCUACCUAUAAGACUGGGAUAACUUCGGGAAACCGGAGCUAAUACCGGAUAAUAUAUUGAACCGCAUGGUUCAAUAGUGAAAGACGGCUUUGCUGUCACUUAUAGAUGGAUCCGCGCCGCAUUAGCUAGUUGGUAAGGUAACGGCUUACCAAGGCGACGAUGCGUAGCCGACCUGAGAGGGUGAUCGGCCACACUGGAACUGAGACACGGUCCAGACUCCUACGGGAGGCAGCAGUGGGGAAUCUUCCGCAAUGGGCGAAAGCCUGACGGAGCAACGCCGCGUGAGUGAUGAAGGUCUUCGGAUCGUAAAACUCUGUUAUUAGGGAAGAACAAAUGUGUAAGUAACUAUGCACGUCUUGACGGUACCUAAUCAGAAAGCCACGGCUAACUACGUG